AGAUACACAAAUAAGCAAGUAGCUCACUUCAUAGCUCACACUGGAUGUUUACAGCAUCAAUUCUGCUUUUUUUCCCCCUCAAAGGUACAACAGAAGGGCUGCUUGCAGAACCUGAAGCAGAGCUUCGUGUUCACAGAGGCCGCAGUGUCCUACUUCGAGCACGACUGACUGACCCCUGAUGCUCAGCUCAUGAAAGCCUUGGCACUUCCAUUCGGCGGAGAGGAAAGGGGAAGAGGGAGAGGUUACGCAGCUCACUGCUCAGAAUAAACCCCUAUAGGUGGCUGUACUGCAAGUGUCCUGUUCAAAUGUGAAAAUGUGAAAAGAAAUCAUCAAUUAGCCAGACAUUGUAUGAAAAGUAGUCGUUCACAAUUAAGUUUCCCUCGUUAUGUCAAGAAGAGAAGAGCUCCCUAUCGCUGCCCAGGUCAACUUCAAGACUUGACGGCUCCACCCAGGAGAGGUCCGAAAGUGAAAUUCCGACUGGUUCUCGGUUUUGUGGUGGAAUGAGCUCCCUCUGUCCCUCGGAGCUGCUGAAGCCCCCCUGACUUCCAAGAAGGUUCUCAAAUCCACCUCCUUCAGAACCACUUCACUCCCUUCUGAUCUCCUGACAGCUACAUAAAUGAAUCCAACACCAUCUGCUAUGAUCAUAAGGAAAGUGCUGCAGACGCUGAGGGCUGCAGCGGAACACCUGGUUCCUACCUGCCCCAGGCGGGCAUCUCCUCCAAAUGAGCAUCACUGCAGGAAGCAGCAUCGCUCCAAAGCACCCAGUGUUUCUUUUCUUUUCUUUUUUUUGGAGAAAACAUCGCUAUGCUUUUUCCCUCCAAUUUCCAGGGAUCUGCUUCCCUAAGCGAUGGGAUGAUCCUGCAGAGAGUAAAUAUGCUGUAACUGCUGCUCAGCACUUUCACUGUAAUUCUCUACUGCUGAUUCACGUCUUUCGCAUGGAGCUCAGAUGAAGACUUAGAGCCGCUUAAACUCAACUUUUCAACAGCCACGGAAAUAUAUUGUUGUGUCUUUUCCCUCCUCCACUCCAACCAGGCCUAACAGAGCAGCUUCCUGGGGACGUGACCUUUAAUUUCACCACGUUUACGGCUGAUGCUUCCGAGAGUUUCACAUUCAAACUCAACCGA
Scleropages formosus (Asian bonytongue) is the source of this 1124-nucleotide long non-coding RNA. RefSeq lists it as uncharacterized. Lineage: Eukaryota; Metazoa; Chordata; Actinopteri; Osteoglossiformes; Osteoglossidae. The record is from RefSeq and is a predicted model, not a curated record. The transcript is spliced from 3 exons.